Molecule: long non-coding RNA, 2009 nt
Filed under: Podarcis lilfordi (Lilford's wall lizard)
Lineage: Eukaryota; Metazoa; Chordata; Lepidosauria; Squamata; Lacertidae
Source: RNAcentral
GGAGAAGUCAUUCCACAUAGCAGAAAGAUCCACCAUUGCCUCUAGGGUUGCCAAGUCAGGAGCAUCUCAGACCCUUGUGAUGUCAUAAGAGAGGCCCCUGAUGAUGUCACAGGGAAGGACCCUGGAGAUGGAGGUUAAUUGGGAGAAUGGAGCAGAGGAGGAUAGACCCCCACACCCAGAGUUUCUAUGCUAUAAUUUCCAGCCAACUCCUACAAAGCUGAAUCUUGCAAGCUGUGUGCAGUCUUCUUAAUAUGUUGUUGUUGUUGUUGUUGUUGUGACUCUUGCUCACCUGGCAAUUCAAGCCUUCCACCUGCCCCCUGGAGGGUGGCCGGGCAAACCUAGAAAAUUCAGGUCAGACCUGGAGGUCUGGCAACCCUAAUUAGUUCCUAUUUGUAUCAAAGGCAGAUUUAGGGCAGCGUGACUGGUUGCCCCACACAGGGCUCCCAGCUGAGGGGGCACCUUUCCUACUCUUUCCCAAAGCCUAGUAAGUACAGUGGUACCUCGGGUUAAGUACUUAAUUCGUUCCGGAAGCCUGUUCUUAACCUGAAACUGUUUUUAACCUGAAGCACCACUUUAGCUAACAGGGCCUCCUGCUGCCACCGCGCCGCUGGAGCAUGAUUUCUGUUCUCAUUCUGAAGCAAAGUUCUUAACCCAAGGUACUAUUUCUGGGUUAACAGAUUCUGUAACCUGAAGCGUAUGUAACCCGAGGUACCACUGUACUUGCUUUAGGAAGGCGGCGUGAGGGCUCUGACAGAGUCCUGGAGUCCUCCCUUCUCCUUCCCUGUAAGUACUUGUCCAGCUUUGGGAAGGGGCUGGGGUGGAUAUAGAGGACCCUGCCAGAGCCUCAUGGCUCCUUCCCAGAGCCCAGCGCCUCGCUUACCCGACUUUGGAAAGGCAGCACAAGGGCUGGGGGUGGGCAUCAAAUUUCAGCCUUGCACAGGGCGCCAUAUUACCAAGGUCCCCCCCCGUUUGUAUGAAGUGUAAGACUUCUCCCCACACACUUCCAGGCAUUUCUUUGCCUAAGGACUAGGAACAUGAGUGAUGGUUGUUUUCUAAAGCAGUGGUUUAGACCACAACGCUACCCACUCAGCGCCACUGAGCCUCUUGGGCUUGCUGAUCGGAAGGUUGGCGGUUCGAAUCUGGGCAACAGGGUGAGCUCCUGUUGCUCUGUCCCAACUUCUGCCAACCUAGCAGUUUGAAAGCAUGCCAGUGCAGGUAGAUAAAUAGGUACCGCUGCAGCAGGAAGGUAAACAGUGUUUCCGUGCUCUCUGGCUCAUCACAUUGUGCCAGAAGUGGUUUAGUCAUGCUGGCCACAUGACCCGGAAAGCUGUCUGUGGACAAACGCCGGCUCCCUCAGCCUGAAAACGAGAUGAGCGCCGCAACCCCAUAAGUUGCCUUUGACUGGACUUAACUGUCCAGGGGUCCUUUACCUUUUUUAAAGCAAGCCAGCCAUGGUUUUCCUCAUACUGCAUUCUGCACCUGAUACUAGAAUCAGCGCAUCAGAAAACACUCUGUAUGUUCCUCCAAAGUGCCUGGAAGGGCAAUCCUGGAUGCAGUUCCUUGACCAUAAGCCCUGUUGAACACAGUGGGGCUUUCUUCUGAGUAAAACAUGCAUGCAGUCGCAAAGACUGACAGUCCAAAGAAAGGCAUCUUGCCGCAUCCAAAUAGGGCUGUGCUGAAAUAUUUAUGCACACCCUAAAUAAUAGAUUGGGUAGUGGCAAAAAAAGAGAGACAUCUCAUUUUAUGUACGUCUUUGCUGUCAUGUUUCAUUUUUAGCACUGGAGCAGGCACAAUAGUUUACGGAAUGUAACAACUACACCCCCAUCUGAAGCAAAAAAUAAUAUUUCCCCCCCCGCCUCCUUUUUUUAAGUGUCCAUCUUUUCAGCUUUUGCUAUUCCUCAUCCUAAGGGGAAGAACCACAUAGCUGGGUCCAGAUGCUCAACUGGUCAAGUCAGCAUUUGCCUCACGUCUUAUCUGUGGACACCUCUGCAAUUAAACUCUCCAAAUCA